UUCUCCAGCCAAAGGAACUCCUCACUUCAGUAAAUUUCAAAUUGUAAAUUGAAGGAAAAUGAAAAACAAGAUCUUCAAACCAAAAGAACGAAACCCGGUGAUGGGUAGUGAUUAGCAGCUGCGAUGCUAAAUUCCCAACUGCAUAUCCUACUAGUCAGUAGUCACCCCAUUUUCUCUCUAACUCAGAAACGCUCACACAGAAAGUCUCCCUUUCUCUCUCUACAAUUAAUCAUCUGCAUUAUAUUCUGAAAAUUUGGUAGAUUUACUGUAAAAAAGGCUAACAAAGAAUGAGCAGAUAAAAGUGAGAAAAAAUUUUGAUGUAAG
RNAcentral lists this unclassified non-coding RNA (324 nucleotides) under Hevea brasiliensis (rubber tree). Lineage: Eukaryota; Viridiplantae; Streptophyta; Magnoliopsida; Malpighiales; Euphorbiaceae. The record is from RNAcentral.